UACGUAGGCAGCGAGCGUUGUUCGGAAUUACUGGGCGUAAAGAGUGUGUAGGCGGUGUUCCAAGUCCGGUGUGAAAUCUCCCGGCUUAACUGGGAGGGUGCGCCGGAAACUGGAAUGCUCGAGGGUGGGAGAGGUAAGCGGAAUUCCUGGUGUAGCGGUGAAAUGCGUAGAUAUCAGGAGGAACACCUGUGGUGUAGACAGCUUACUGGACCACUUCUGACGCUGAGACACGAAAGCGUGGGUAGCAAACAGG
This 253-nucleotide ribosomal RNA is filed under the name uncultured bacterium. RNAcentral's name for it is "partial 16S ribosomal RNA". It matches the Rfam family "Bacterial small subunit ribosomal RNA", at positions 524 to 776 of the family's 1533-position model. The record is from RNAcentral.